GUGCCAGCGCCGCGGUAAUACCGGCAGCCCGAGUGAUGACCGAUCUUAUUGGGCCUAAAGCGUCCGUAGCUGGCUGCGCAAGUCCGUCGGGAAAUCCACUCGCCCAACGAGUGGGCGUCCGACGGAAACUGCACAGCUUGGGACCGGAAGGCUCGAAGGGUACGUUCGGGGUAGGAGUGAAAUCCCAUAAUCCCGCACGGACCACCGAUGGCGAAAGCACUUCGAGAAAACGGAUCCGACAGUGAGAGACGAAAGCUAAGAUCGCGAACCGGAUUAGAUACCCCUGUAGUCC
This 292-nucleotide ribosomal RNA is filed under the name uncultured bacterium. RNAcentral's name for it is "partial 16S ribosomal RNA". It matches the Rfam family "Archaeal small subunit ribosomal RNA", at positions 455 to 747 of the family's 1478-position model. The record is from RNAcentral.